Molecule: transfer RNA, 85 nt
Filed under: Daphnia magna
Lineage: Eukaryota; Metazoa; Arthropoda; Branchiopoda; Diplostraca; Daphniidae
Rfam family: tRNA
About the family: Transfer RNA (tRNA) molecules are approximately 80 nucleotides in length. Their secondary structure includes four short double-helical elements and three loops (D, anti-codon, and T loops). Further hydrogen bonds mediate the characteristic L-shaped molecular structure. tRNAs have two regions of fundamental functional importance: the anti-codon, which is responsible for specific mRNA codon recognition, and the 3' end, to which the tRNAs corresponding amino acid is attached (by aminoacyl-tRNA synthetases). tRNAs cope with the degeneracy of the genetic code in two manners: having more than one tRNA (with a specific anti-codon) for a particular amino acid; and 'wobble' base-pairing, i.e. permitting non-standard base-pairing at the 3rd anti-codon position.
Source: Rfam by way of RNAcentral
GAUCGUGUGGCCUAAUGGAUAAGGCGUCGGACUUCUAAUUAGAGUGGCAAUCCGAAAAUUGCGGGUUCGACUCCCGCCACGAUUA